This 255-nucleotide ribosomal RNA is filed under the name uncultured bacterium. RNAcentral describes it as "partial 16S ribosomal RNA". It matches the Rfam family "Bacterial small subunit ribosomal RNA", at positions 57 to 305 of the family's 1533-position model. The record is from RNAcentral.
GCAAGUCGAACGAGAACGGGUAUUAGCUUGCUAAUACUGUCAGCUAAGUGGCGCACGGGUGAGUAAUAUAUAGUUAACCUGCCCUAGAGAAGGGGAUAACGUUUGGAAACGAACGCUAAUACCCUAUAUGCCUUUAAGUCUUAAGACUGCAAGGGAAAUAUUUAUAGCUCGAAGAUUGGCCUGUACGGUAUCAGCUAGUUGGUGAGGUAAUGGCUCACCAAGGCAAUGACACCUAACUGGUUUGAGAGGAUGAUC